Molecule: transfer RNA, 67 nt
Filed under: chicken gut metagenome
Rfam family: tRNA
About the family: Transfer RNA (tRNA) molecules are approximately 80 nucleotides in length. Their secondary structure includes four short double-helical elements and three loops (D, anti-codon, and T loops).
Source: RNAcentral
CCGUAGCUCAGCAGGAUAGAGCGUUGGUCUCCGAAGCCAGAGGUCAUGGGUUCGACUCCCAUCGGAC